Molecule: ribosomal RNA, 213 nt
Filed under: uncultured Glomeromycotina
Lineage: Eukaryota; Fungi; Glomeromycota
Description: partial small subunit ribosomal RNA
Source: RNAcentral
GGAUCAAUUUAUUGGUCGUGCUAUUGUACGUACUGGUAUUAUUGAUUCCUACCUUCUGACGAACCAUGAUGUCAUUAAUUUGGUGCCAUGGAGAAUCAGGACUGUUACUUUGAAAAAAUUAGAGUGUUUAAAGCAGGCUCACGCUUGGGUACAAACAUGGAAUAACGAAAUAGGACGUUUGAUUCUAUUUUGUUGGUUUCUAGGAUCGACGUA